CUUCUGAAGUUCCCUUCCAGAGCUGGGUUCAUUUGAACCCAUCCAAGCCAGGAAACAAAACCGGGAGUCAAGGUUCUGAUCAAAGAGCACCCACCUUCAGCCUGAAAAAACCUGAGCUUUCACGUAUCUUGUGCUAAAAAAAGGAGCGUAUGAUAGCAGUAUCUGAAGGGAUGGCACAAAGAAACUCGGUGUGAAGCACGGUUCUCACAGCUGCAGGUUUCUGAAAGGAGAGCAGUACUGGACUCAUUUCACCCCCAAACAGGGUUUACAGACCACAUGCCUGCCAGACACGGAACGCCUCCUGCCACGCACUGAGGUCCUGCAGCUCUUGAGAACACAGGGAAACGUCUGGGCUGACCUACGCCGAGGGCAAGAGGCAGCGGGACCAGAACAGCCAGACCUCAACCCCUUUGUACCUGCCUUGAUGUCUGUCA
This 434-nucleotide long non-coding RNA is filed under the name Anas platyrhynchos platyrhynchos (common mallard). RNAcentral describes it as "lncRNA (ENSAPLG00000025357.1)". Lineage: Eukaryota; Metazoa; Chordata; Aves; Anseriformes; Anatidae. The record is from RNAcentral.